Fukomys damarensis (Damara mole-rat) is the source of this 1950-nucleotide long non-coding RNA. NCBI's taxonomy places the organism in Eukaryota, Metazoa, Chordata, Mammalia, Rodentia, Bathyergidae. The record is from Ensembl.
CAAACAAUGGCCUUAAGUAAAGCAGAAACUAAAAGGCCUGUUUAUUAGAGAGGAAGGUGGUUGGUUGGAAUUGAUUGGUAAUGGAGGGAGGGACAAUAGGAGAGGUGGAGGGAGAGAAAGGUGUAGGAUGCAGAGAACACAAUGCCUCCCAAAUAGAGUACAAUGUCAGUGUGUUCCCAAGAGUGGAGAGUGAAACCCACGAAGAGUGACAAUGUGGGAAACCUGCUAUGUGACCGCCCCAAGAGUAAGCGUGAUAUCUAACCCAACAGAUCACCCUAUGACUGGUGGAACCCCGUUAUCUAAAUUCAAUGUGUGGAACCCUAUGACGGGUGCAGCCCUAGUAUCUACUCAAACAGCCCCAGUAUGUGUGAAGUGAUAAAACCCGAACCAGUGCCACAGACCCCCAGUUAGAAUGGUAUAAAAGAGAGAGCGCAGACGGCCAGCUUGUCCCACUCAGAUGCCCGAGACAGCCCGACACUCUGCCGGACGAGACAUUGGACACCUGCCCAGAGUGGACCCCUGGAUCAACGUGGAGGCAACCAGAUUAAACACUGCAAUCACCAGGAAAGGAGAAACAAAGUCGUGCUCCUCAGACUUGUGCAGUUUGAGCAGUGUGAAGAGGCAAGAACGAUCCCCCAGACCGACCAAAGCCAUGCGUCACGGCGUCUCGCAUCCAACACCUGCAUCGGGUCGUGGCCACCACGCCCAGGAGAAAGGCUAAAGGUGAUAAAGCCAAGGUGAAGGACGAACCACAGAGAAGAUCUGAGAGGUUGUCUGCUAACCCAGCCCCUCCAAAGCCAGAGCCCAAGCCUAAAAGGGCCCCUGCAAAGAAGGGAGAGACGGUACCCAGAGGGAAAGAGGGAAAAGCUGAUGCCGGCAAGGAUGGGAAUAACCCUGCAGAAAACUGAGGCCAAAACAGAUCACGCGCGGAAAGCUGGCGGUGCUGGAGAUGCCAGGUGAAGUGUGUGCAUUUUUGAUAACUGUGUACUUCUGGUGACUACAGUUUGAAAUAGUAUUUUUUAUCAAGUUUUAUAAAAAUGCAGAAGUUUGUUUUACUUUUUAUCUAUGUUGUUAGCACACAGAACACUUCAUUGUUUUUUGGGGGGAAGGAGCAUAUGUCCACUGGUACAAUGUCUCCAAAGCUAGUUUUGAGAGACUUCCGCUUGGCUCCCCGGUGGAGGGAGUCCCUGAUGUUGACACCCUUGGCCACCUUGGCACAAAUGCCUUGUGGUACAGGAAAACUCCCAGUUCACUUUAUGUCCUCCUUCCCUCUGCCAUCAGCACAGACUUAACUCCCUUAAGCCCAGAGACCUGUUGGGACCUGACUCCCAAAAAUUGAUGUUACCAGUGUGUCAAGCAUUCUGGACUUGCCAGGGACAUUGAGAUGCUGUCCCACAAGAGCAAUCAUUUCCUUGUCUACAUCGGGGAUCUUCAGAUUGAUAAUUGUACCUUUUGGGGGGGGGUACCUGGGAUGGAAUUCGGGACCUUGUGCUUGCGAGGCAGGUGGUGGAACCACUGAGCUAAAUCUGGCCCUAUCUUCAUUUUAUUUUCUGAAAGUCAGGGUCAGCUUGUGAAAGUUGUUAAACAACAUGCUAAAUAUGAAGUGUCAGCCCUCAUUCUAAAAUUUCCCUACUCAUACCAUCAAAUGAAAACUUCAUUGGAUUUUACAGUGGCUUUCUGAGUUUUAGUAGUCCAUCCAAAAAGGAAGUUUGAAAGUUGUUGUAUACUGUUAACGAUUGUGUGCUCAUGCCCUGCCUGAAGUACCAUGAUUGUUUAUGAAAAGUAUCUUUAAUAAAGCUGGAUACAGCUGGAAAAAAACAAAAUCAAUCAGUAUAACUCACCAUAUCAAUGAACUGAUGUAAGCAAACUAUAUGAUUAUCUCCACUGAAGCCACUAAAGUGACAAAACAACAUCAUUCAUAUUUUUCAUAUAUGCACUGCUAAAAUGAGC